UGAUGCUGAGCAUACAAAUACCCUGGAGC
This 29-nucleotide non-coding RNA is filed under the name Homo sapiens (human). The record is from RNAcentral. Lineage: Eukaryota; Metazoa; Chordata; Mammalia; Primates; Hominidae.